UCCCUCCUGCUGAACUCUUCCUACCCGGGCUCUGAACACAUCCCUGAGCUGCAGAGCUGACGUCUGGGUGACAGUGAAACGGGGUAUUCAUUUGUACCAAAACAAACAAACAAACAAACAAAACCUGGAAUGACGGUGUGUGGAUUUCUUGUGUGCUUAUUCGUAGGAUUGAGAAAGGGUGAGGCUAAGGUCCCGAGCCUUCGUGAAGCAAUGGAGAAAGUGCCGUCCCAAGGCUCAGUUCCACACGGCGCUGUGAGGCUGAAGGGGCUCACUGGAAGUUCCCCUCACAGGACGCCACCUCACCUGAAACCCUCUUUUUCUGCUACCAUCCAAGGGACAAGAUCUCCUGAGUUGUCGAAGACUCACUCCGGAAGAAAACCCUCUCAGGCAGUUACUGAGGGACUGUGGUCUGGACUAGAACGUGUUUUUCUCAGUGACACCUCUAGAGGGCAGCACUCAACGGAGUCCCACAGACACCUCCCUGCAUUUCCUCCUCAGACACUGGGUGGAUGAUAUGGUAACACUGGGGAAUGCUUGGGUGUUCUCCUGGAAGCUCCUUAUUUUAAUCACCUGUUUACUUGUCUCCAUUCUUAUAGAUAUGUAGGCUACCCGAGGGCAGAGACUGAGUCUGUCUUGUUCACUGUCUACCUCCAGAACCUCACACAGAAUCUGGCACUUAGUAGGUGCACAACAAAAUAAUCAUUGAAUUAGUAUACUGAGUCUUUAACAGAGUCUCUUUCUGUUUAUUGAGUUGACACGAUGUAUCCAAAAGCAGCUGAAUGCACAACUCAAACUGUCAUCCAAGCACACAAAGAAGGCAUUGAUAAAAGCUAUGCUGGUUGUAAGUGGAGAAGAGACUAGAGCAAAGUGAAGCUGCAGGAAAAAGCUGAGACAGGUUACAACGGGAGUGCCAGAGAGAUGUCACUUAAAAUGAGAACUUCUCAGGGUUUGAGAAAGGUGAGUCCCAAGCCCUCGUGAAGCAUUGGAGAAAGUGCCGCCCCGAGGUUCAGGUCCACACAGCGCUGUGAGGCUGAAGGGGCGCGCUAGAAGUUCCUUUCACAGGACGCCACCUCACCUGAAACCCUCCUUUUCUGCUGACACCCGAGGGACAAGAUCUUCUGAGUUUUUCCAUUACUUACUCUGGAGGAAAACCCUCAGGCAGUUAGUUACUGAGGGACUCUGGUCUGGACUGGGAAGUGUUUUUCUCAGUGACACCUCUAGAAGGCAGCACUUAGCGGAGUCCCACAGACACCUCCCAGCAUUUCCUGCUCAAACACUGGGAGGAUGGCCUGGUAACACUGGGGAAUGCCUGGGUGUUCUAGAAGCCCCCACCCCUGAUUUUAACCACGUGUUUUCUUAUCUGAGUCCUUGUAGACAUGUAUGUAGUCUGCCUUAGGGCAGGAAUUGUGUCUACCUUGUUCACUGCCAAUCCUCAGGACAGAACCUGGCACUUAAUAGGUGCACAACAAAAUAACCACUGGCUGAAUAUACUCAGUAUUUAACAGGCAGUUUGUCACAAUCCACUCCCUCCCUGACCUCAUUGUGGUUUAUAGUUUAUGUUUAAUGACAUUUAGUUUCCAUGUACUUAGCAUUUUAUUGUAUAAAUUUCUCAUAUAUAUAAAAAAUACACAUAAAAUACAAUGGUCCUCUUUGUUUCAAUCAUCUAGCUGCAGUAAUCACCAACCCAAGCCUGUCUUUCAUUUGUAUGCCCAGCUUCUCUCCUCCUCUGUCAUAAUAUGAAACAAAUCUGAGGUAUCAUAUUAUCUCAUCCUAAAUACUUCAGUGUGUAUCUCUGAAACAUAACAGAAACAUCAUACCUAACAUCACAAAAUGACACUAAAAAAUUUAACAGUAAUUCUUUAAUAUUAUCUAACAUUCAAUCAAUAUUCAGGUUUCUAAUUUUUAUGUGUCAUAAGUUAUAUUUUAUAGUUUGUUUAAAUCCUAAUGCAAAUAAGGUCCACUCAUUGUGAUUAGUUAAUUCUUUUCAAAAUAUAUUUUAAUUGUUCAUGUGUUCUUUUUCAUGUGCUCUUUAAUGGACAGAUUUUUAAAUUUUCAUUUGGUAAAAUUUGUCCAUUUUAAAAAAAUAACUGGGGAUGCUUUUAUUUGAGGCCAAAAUAUUCACAGGUCAUCUAGUAUGGAAGUCUCUUGGCUUACUAAAAUAUUUUGAUACAGUCAAUUAGGUCCAACUUAAGAUGACCUAACU
Molecule: long non-coding RNA, 2203 nt
Filed under: Homo sapiens (human)
Lineage: Eukaryota; Metazoa; Chordata; Mammalia; Primates; Hominidae
Description: HSALNT0334674
Source: RNAcentral